UACAGAGGUCUCAAGCGUUGUUCGGAUUCAUUGGGCGUAAAGGGCGCGUAGGCUGCGGGGCAAGUCGGGUGUGAAAUCUCAGAGCUCAACUCUGAAACUGCACUCGAUACUGCUUUGCUUAGGACUGGAGAGGAGAUUGGAAUUCACGGUGUAGCAGUGAAAUGCGUAGAUAUCGUGAGGAAGACCAGUGGCGAAGGCGGAUCUCUGGACAGUUCCUGACGCUGAGGCGCGAAGGCCAGGGGAGCAAACGGG
This 252-nucleotide ribosomal RNA is filed under the name uncultured bacterium. RNAcentral describes it as "partial 16S ribosomal RNA". It matches the Rfam family "Bacterial small subunit ribosomal RNA", at positions 524 to 776 of the family's 1533-position model. The record is from RNAcentral.